Molecule: ribosomal RNA, 446 nt
Filed under: uncultured bacterium
Lineage: Bacteria
Description: bacterial SSU rRNA
Rfam family: Bacterial small subunit ribosomal RNA
Source: RNAcentral
GUGAGGGGUAUUGGUCAAUGGGCGGAAGCCUGAACCAGCCAUGCCGCGUGCGGGAGGAAGGCCCUACGGGUUGUAAACCGCUUUUCCGGGGGAAGAAUAAGCCCGAUGCGUCGGGUGAUGCCGGUACCCCGGGAAUAAGGAUCGGCUAACUCCGUGCCAGCAGCCGCGGUAAUACGGAGGAUCCGAGCGUUAUCCGGAUUUACUGGGUUUAAAGGGUGCGUAGGCGGCCCGGGCAAGUCAGCGGUGAAAUGAGGCGGCUCAACCGUUUCGCUGCCGUUGAUACUGCGGGGCUUGGAUACGGUCGGGGCGGGUGGAAUUCGUGGUGUAGCGGUGAAAUGCAUAGAUAUCACGAGGAACGCCGGUAGCGAAGGCAGCUCGCCGGGCCGAGAUCGACGCUGAGGCACGAAAGCGUGGGGAUCAAACAGGAUUAGAUACCCUAGUAGUCC